GUUUGUUUAUUCAAUAAUUGUCUGAUGAUUGUGAACUAAGGUAAUGCCACUUGUAAUCACUUAAUUAAAUAAAAUCCUGAUUAAUUAAAGUUAUGUAAUCAACAAGGUCUUUAUAGUUUGAUCUUCUGGUUCAGGUUGGUGUAUAUAAUAAUAAUUAAUUGUAAUUUUUUUUUCAGGUAACAUCACAGGCUUCUAUAACACUUGUUUGGUUUUUUUUU
Molecule: long non-coding RNA, 218 nt
Filed under: Mytilus galloprovincialis (Mediterranean mussel)
Lineage: Eukaryota; Metazoa; Mollusca; Bivalvia; Mytilida; Mytilidae
Source: RNAcentral